GAUGAACGCUAGCUAUAGGCUUAACACAUGCAAGUCGAGGGGAAACGGCAUGAGAUGCUUGCAUCUUAUGGACGUCGACCGGCGUACGGGUGAGUAACACGUAACUAACCUGCCCUUCAGUGGGGGACAACAGGAGGAAACUCCUGCUAAUACCGCGUACCUUUUAACAAUCGCAUGAUUGAUAAAAGAAAGGUGGCCUCUAUUUAUAAGCUACCGCUGAAGGAGGGGGUUGCGUCUGAUUAGCUAGUUGGUGGGGUAAAAGCCUACCAAGGCGAUGAUCAGUAGCCGGUCUGAGAGGACGAACGGCCACAUUGGGACUGAGACACGGCCCAA
RNAcentral lists this ribosomal RNA (333 nucleotides) under uncultured bacterium. RNAcentral's name for it is "bacterial SSU rRNA". It matches the Rfam family "Bacterial small subunit ribosomal RNA", at positions 28 to 334 of the family's 1533-position model. The record is from RNAcentral.